GACGAAGGGGGCUAGCGUUGCUCGGAAUCACUGGGCGUAAAGGGUGCGUAGGCGGGUUUUUAAGUCAGAGGUGAAAUCCUGGAGCUCAACUCCAGAACUGCCUUUGAUACUGAAAGUCUUGAGUAUGGGAGAGGUGAGUGGAACUGCGAGUGUAGAGGUGAAAUUCGUAGAUAUUCGCAAGAACACCAGUGGCGAAGGCGGCUCACUGGCCCAUAACUGACGCUGAGGCACGAAAGCGUGGGGAGCAAACAGG
Molecule: ribosomal RNA, 253 nt
Filed under: uncultured bacterium
Lineage: Bacteria
Description: partial 16S ribosomal RNA
Rfam family: Bacterial small subunit ribosomal RNA
Source: RNAcentral